Molecule: non-coding RNA, 311 nt
Organism: Labrus bergylta (ballan wrasse)
Lineage: Eukaryota; Metazoa; Chordata; Actinopteri; Labriformes; Labridae
Source: RefSeq, a predicted model, not a curated record
CAAGACCUGAGUCCACCUUUCUUUGUUGAGUGCAUCAAAAGAGAGUCAUUGGUUUCAGUUAAUUAGUUUGGUCGGUUUCGCCCGUUCGUAUUGACUACUAUCAACACGGAGGUCAUUUUCACUGGUUCGGCAUGGCCUUCAUGAAAGAACACAAAACUCUUGACCCUUUUCUGUCUGACUUCAUUUUAGUUCCAUCUCUUGUAUCAUAUCAUCAUCAGGACCAAUAAUGUACAAUGAGAAAUUAGGAUUAGUUUAACUUAGCUUCCUCUAUUUCUAUACCUAUCAUGUGCAGUCGGACUGAGGGAACACAA